RNAcentral lists this long non-coding RNA (791 nucleotides) under Lathyrus oleraceus (garden pea). RNAcentral describes it as "Pisum sativum (pea) long non-coding RNA (PSAT_LNC009361)". The record is from RNAcentral. Lineage: Eukaryota; Viridiplantae; Streptophyta; Magnoliopsida; Fabales; Fabaceae.
GAUUUUUGUUUUACUCGUGUGAGAAAUGAUGAGGUACCCUUCGAGGGAACGUUUUCGUUAUGAGGGUUUCCUCAAAUCUCUGAAUUCAAGGGAUUUUUGUGAGUGGGAGUGAAACGCAACCAAAUUUUUGUUUAAGAUGCUUUCUGCUUUGUUUGUACGCUGCUGAUUUUUUUCAAUUAUGGUCCCCUCUUAUACCUUAUGUAUGUAUUGCUGCAGUUAUGCGUAUGAUAUAUGUAAUUGCAAAUUUGGAACGUACGUUGAUGUGUGUUUAUGGUAUACUUCUUUUUUAAACUUGUUGAAAAUGUGAUGGUACUAUUUUCAAAUAUGUAUUCUUGUUUAAUAUGCUACGAUGCAUAAAGGUCCCACCUUGAUUUGUUUCUUGUAUGUUGGAUAUUGAGUUGUAUUAUGAUGCUUGUGAUGUGUAUAUUGAUUGAUGACGAUAUGUGCUCUCUUGAUUUUCCUUAUUUUGUUAAUGCGGAUAUGGCAUGUAUGAUGCUAAUACUGAUUUCAGGCCAAUCUUGCUUAAUUCAUUUGGGAUUGUGUAAUGCAUGAUACACAAAUUGAUAGCAUGAUGAAGAGAAUUGUGUGGGAAAACUUGGGAUCAUCUUCCUAUUUUCAUGUUUUAAACUAGUGUUCCCUUUUAAAAUCGAAAUCCCCUUUGUAUUUGCACUCUUCAACAAGGACGAUGCAAUAUGCUUAUGAGGAAAAAAAGCUCUCUCUUUUUUGUAAUUUGCAAUGUAUGGUUUGAGUGCAAUAAACAAAAAUACCUUAUUUCAUUUCGAAUUCAAAAA